This is a long non-coding RNA of Manis javanica (Malayan pangolin), 886 nucleotides long. RefSeq lists it as uncharacterized. NCBI's taxonomy places the organism in Eukaryota, Metazoa, Chordata, Mammalia, Pholidota, Manidae. The record is from RefSeq and is a predicted model, not a curated record.
CUCCCAGGCUAGCCUCUAUCAUCAGUUCUGGAGGAGUCUGUCUCCCUAUAAAAUACUACAACAGGAGACAACAGCCAGCCCUUGCUGGGCUCUGGCUUCCGGAUGAAUUGAGUUCCACCUCCUCGAACGUUCUUGGAACCGUUUCUAAAGCUCUUGGAUUUCCCGAGUGAUCAGUGUCUUAUCUGUGAGCCCUUGGAUCACACCUGAAUUUACACGAACGAUGCACCUCAUGCUCAGCCGGCUACUCAAGACUCUUCAUGGCUUCCCAACUCCUUAAAGUAAAACCCAAAGCUCUUGCUGUGACCUUCAUGGCCCUGUGAGAUCUGGCCCCAGCUGUCCCGGGAUCUCAGCGCCUGCUGCUGUCCCUGUUCUCAGGGUCUCAGUCACACUGGCGUCCUCACUGCUCUUAUCAAGCCCAUCACUGCUGCCUCAGGGCCAUUGCAUUUACUGUGGCCUGCCUGGGUACCCUUCCCACAGCCCCAUAGUCCGUGGGCCACCCGGUUGCCUCGUUCAGGGCUCUGCUUCAAAGCAAGCCAACUGGGAAGACCUUUCCUGACUCUGUCUAAAAUAACAUUUUCCCUCUUCCCUACAGCAUUUCCUAUUCUCUUUUCCCUGUUUUUGUUUCUUCACAGCAUUUAUUAUAACCUGACUUUUUUUUUUUGGUGGUAAAAUGUACAUAACAUGAAAUUUACCAUUUUUAAGUGUAUAAUUUGGUGCAUUAAGUACCUUCACGUUGUUGUGUAAUGAUCACCACCAUCCAUUCCCAGAAUGUUUUCAUCUUCCCCAGUUGAAGCUCUACACCCAUUAAACUCUCCGUUCACCCCUCCCCCAGCCCCUGGCAAUCACUAUUCUACUUUCUGUCUCUAUGAAUCUGACUACUCAUAUA